UUGGUCAUGGCGAAGAUAACCGAAUCCAACAUUUGGUCUACAAGAUUAUGGUAAACCAAACCGGUAUGAGGAUCGGUAUAAGUUGAGUUUCCUUGAAACAGAGCGAAAUCCAACGUGGUGUGAUUAGGGUUUCUUGACCAACGGAAGUAAGGUUGAAGAUUGAUAAAGAAGUAAGAGUUUGUUCCGUUGAGAAACUUCAGCAACGGCAACAUUAACGGUAAGGCGAUAUCUCCCCGGAAUGUUGAGUUCGACGGCGGAAACGUUGAUCGAAGAGAAUCCAUAGCUAAAGGUGUACCGACUUUGAUGUUGUGAAUCCCAUGGGCUCUGAGAGAGUUCACGAUUUUUCGCAUUGCCGGUACGACAUUGCCGGUUAUGUUCCUAUCUUUGACGGAGAGGAUUUCGUUUCCAACAAGGACAAAUCGUAUUUGUGUUUGUGGGUAGUAAGGGAGGAUAUUGGUUUUGACCCAAUCUUCAGCUGUAGUUUGGUUGGCGCUGAGGGAAGUGAUCUGGUGGGUUGGCACCGCUAUGGUGACGUAGAGAUUGGUUUGAGAGAGGAGUGUUAGACUCUCUGGAUCGGCGUCGUAGAGCUUGACAUGACCGGCUUUGAUGAGUUUGAUGAAAUUGAUCGAUUGGUAAGGAGAUGGUAGGUUGUUUCCUUGUCUACCAUAGUUAAUACCAAUCUUGCUGGCUAACUCUAGCAUCGUUUUUUUCUGUAUAUACCUGUGCGGAUGUUGGAACCCAACCGCUGAGCAACUUGUACCUGUAAAAUCAAGAAAAUUAUGUUCAAUAUGAAUCUAAAAUGUAAGCAUCAUGGUGCACUUUGCAUAUGAUUCUUUGAUGGAGAAGAUGGCUUACUUGAAAAGACGACGAGGGUGAAGAGGAAGAAAGCAAGAAGAGACAUGUCUUUUUGUGUUUGGUUCGCAGUGUGUUAAUUGUGAUCAGAUUGUGGUAUGAGUAGGAAAAUGAGUAGGAAUGGUGUGAAAUUGGAGAUGAUGCAUCGAGGUAUUAAGUAGGAGUAUGGUGAAAGUUUAGUGGUGUAAAGAUAAUACAUUUAUAUUGAGUCAUGCAAGCGUAGCUUUUUUUUUUUGGCUUUUGGUUUCUUUUGAAACUAUAUCAUAAUUCUUUUGUGCUAUGAUUUUUAAAGAUUGUUGGUUAGAUGGUUCAUAUUGAACCACUCUUUUCCUGAUUUAUAACUUCAUCGUUUUACAUGUUGCGAGUUUUGUAAUGGUGACUGUAGAUUAGAAAAGUACUUCAACUAUAUAAAAGACUUUUUUGUACAUUGAGUUGAGAAGACUAAUGAAAAUCCUAUAUAUAAUCUUAACUGAACGGGACUCUCUAGGUCGAAAAACAAAGCCCUUUAUUAUGAACUACAAGUUUUGCCCUCAAAUUCAGACAUAAUCUUUUUAAGAAUAUCUUUUAUUUGGUUUUGUGUUUGAAGUUUGUUUAAAUUAUCAGGUUCAGAUAUCACUUUGUUAUUAUUUUGUCUUCUUUCAUUUAUUAAUGCCUUUUCCCAGUAAUAUUUUUUUAUAAUGAAUGUUAAAUAUUUUAAAAGAUGGAAACUCAUAUGUAGCUACUUGUGAAAAUGAUGUCAUCUACGUACACAAGCACCACAACGUAAUCAUCUUUUCUUCUGCGUACAAACAAAGAAUGAUCACCAUGAUCUUUAGUCAAUUCCAAAUCCAAAAGAGCAGAAGAAAACUUUCUAAACCACUGAAACUUGUUUUAACCCACAUAUAGAUUUCUUGAAUCGUAAAACAGCUCUUGGUGAUAGAGUAAUGCCUUUUCUCUCGGCAUCCUUAUGGUAUCUUCAUGAGGAUUUCUUCAUCUAAAUCCGCAUUCAAAAACGCAUUAGAAAUGUCACGUUGAGUAAGAGACCAUUUCUUAGUUGCGGAAACUUUGAGAAGAAGUUUGACUUUUGCCAUUUUAGCUACAUGGGAAAAGAUUUCAUUGUAAUGCUGACUCUCUUUCUGCAUAUAUUCUUGUGUCUCUCAAGAGUUCCAUUAGCGUUGAAUUUUAAAGUAUAAAGACACAUACAACCUGCAUAUUUCUUUACAAUAGGAAGACUAGUAACAUCCCAUAUUUUUGUUGAUUUCAUAGCUUUAAUUUCAACAUCCACUGCUUCACACCAUUUCUUGGAUUUCUGAGCCUCAAAAAAUGAAGUAGGAAUAGAAAUUUAUGUAAGGUUGUUUAUGUAAGAAAGGUAUGAAGGAUAUAGUUUUGAGUAUGAAAUACAAGAUGAAAUAGGAUGGUAUAUGAUGCAGCAUCACAUACGACAUUGGCGCCAACUUAGACUAUUCGAAUAUGUCUAAUUUCCGGUUUUAGUUUUCUUAUCGGUUUUCCUUUUUAUUUAAAUUUCCUUUUACAAUUAAGUCAUUGAUAUCCUUUUCCUAUUAGGGUUUGUCUAAAGGAAGGGAUAUAUAAACAAGUUUAGUCUUCAUUGUUUGGAUACGUUUGAUUUUAUAAUAGAAGAGCUUUGCUUUUAUCUCUUGUUUAGAUUCGAUUAAAUUCAAAACAGGAAGUUGGUCUCAAGAAGCUAUCGAGAGAAACUCUUGAUCGAUCCAAGAACAGGUCUCGAAGAACUCUAAAUUCUUAGAUCGACCGUUCACCCAUUCGUACGCUGUGCCAGGUUGGUAUCAGAGCUCUGCUACGCCCCGAAUCCUUCUCAACCCGCUACAAUGGUUCGUAAGACUCGUGCUCAGCAAUACGCUGAUGACGAAGAUAUCUCGGCUACUCAACAAUCUGUUAUUGAGCUCCAGGAACAGAUUGCAGACCUAGCUACCGCCGUCGCUGCAUUAACCGCACGACAAGCUGCACCUGCACUUCCCUCCGCAACGACCAGAUAUCUAUCCAUGAUAACUCCGACGAAGACGACGAGAAUCCAUUCGCUCCUCUUCGACAACCACAAAAACAUCAACGACCUCGACGCCGCAUCAACAAUAGCUCCGAUUCAGAAGAAGAAGCUAACGAGUCAUCAUGGAAAUCCAGCUUCAAGCUCGAGCUCCCAGUAUUCAAUGGCUCCACGAACGCUGAGGAAUUAUUGGAUUGGUUUGUAACGAUAGAAAAAAUUCUCGAGUUUAGAGAAAUUUCAUUGAACCGCUUUGUACCCCUAGUCGCCAUACGCUUCCGUGACCGAGCAGCCGCUUGGUGGUCACAAGUUAAAACGACAAGAGCACGAUUGGGAAAAUCGAAGAUUACUACUUGGGAUAAGCUUAAACGAGAGAUGCAAAAAAAAAUAUCUCCCGUACAACUAUGAUCAACUUAUGUUUCAGAAAUUUCAGAAUCUACGACAAGGCAUUCGAUCCGUCGACGAGUACGCGACAUAAUUUUUUAGAAUGAUCAACCGUGUGGAGAUUCGUGAUACCGAAGAACAACUAACAAUGCGUUUUGUGGGAGGUCUUGGCCAACAAAUCCAACACACUCUGAACCUGUUUCGUCCACAUUCUAUCUCAGAAGCUCAUCAGCAAGCCCUCACGAUAGAAACUCAGAACCGAACCGGUUCUCAAUCUUGGACGGCUCGAAAAACUCGACAGAAUCAAGCUGUUUCUUCAGCUACCCCCGAUAUUGUGCCUCCUAAGUCAGAAACCGCGAUCGUACCUGUCGACCCUUUGAAACAGCAACGCACGGGUGGCUUACGUUGUUUCUCGUGUGGAGAGACCGGUCACCGUCAAGCUUCUUGCCCACAUUGUAACAAACGUGGACUUCUUAUUGAAGAUAUCACGGGUGAUCAAGAACCGACGAAUGACGACGAAGAAAUAGAAACAGAAGAAGAAUUGUACCCAUCUUCAUGUUUUGUAAACAAAAAAAAAUUAUAUAUUUAAUAGUUAUUUGAUGUUUUUCUCAACAUUAAGCCACACGAAACAGAAACCAGAAAAUCUAGAGUGAGUAAAUACGAAUAAUCCAGCUUUGAUCAUCUUAAAUCUCUUUCAGGCGUUCUUGCUCACAGAGUAACGCUCGGGAACUUGCAGCGAUCAUUUCCUGUGAAAAGGCUUUAUUAUUUACAAUAUAUUCCACAAAUACCCUUACACUGUCACAUGAUCCGUGACUAUACAAAGGUUUAUUUAUAUCCAAUUUUGGAGAAAAAUAAAUAAAUGACUCACCAGGGUUAGUCGUGGUCUCAUGAGCCAAUCCAUUAAAGUAACAUUGGACGUUUUGGCUACGGAACUGAGCCCAGUACGAGUUAAGCGCGUAGCUUGCGUGCGAAUAAACAGAGACCGGCUCGUAACAUUCUCUGCCAGGAGCCAAAGCCGCACACGUCGUGUUGCUUCGGGCACAAGCCAUCCUCAAAGCUUCCUCAAGCUCAGCCUCGUUGGCUCCUUCGACCAGUACGCACCACACUUGACCCUUGUAAGGAACGUUAUUGGUCGGUUUAGGCAGAGGGUUAAAACCGGUUAAGGGUUUUUGACCGGUAAAAUCAAUGUCGUAGAUUGGUGUACCGUCCGGAUGCAAGAUUCCCCAAUGUCUUUGUGUUCCCGAACCGGGUUUCUUGUUUUCGUUAAAUAAGGAGAAAACAAAUGUCGGUAUAGGUGAACCGGGUCUAGCUGGUGUACCGAUUGGUGGAGUUGCGGUCAUCUUCUUGAUCAAAUUCCGGUUAUACGUGGCGGCGUUGAAAACGUUAGCUCCGAUUUCGUCGAUGUCGCCGGAGUUAGGCCAUCCGGUUUCAGAGAUUGCGAUACGGAUGUAUGGAUAACCGAGCUUGGUCAUGGCGAAGAUAACCGAAUCCAACAUUUGGUCUACAAGAUUAUGGUAAACCAAACCGGUAUGAGGAUCGGUAUAAGUUGAGUUUCCUUGAAACAGAGCGAAAUCCAACGUGGUGUGAUUAGGGUUUCUUGACCAACGGAAGUAAGGUUGAAGAUUGAUAAAGAAGUAAGAGUUUGUUCCGUUGAGAAACUUCAGCAACGGCAACAUUAACGGUAAGGCGAUAUCUCCCCGGAAUGUUGAGUUCGACGGCGGAAACGUUGAUCGAAGAGAAUCCAUAGCUAAAGGUGUACCGACUUUGAUGUUGUGAAUCCCAUGGGCUCUGAGAGAGUUCACGAUUUUUCGCAUUGCCGGUACGACAUUGCCGGUUAUGUUCCUAUCUUUGACGGAGAGGAUUUCGUUUCCAACAAGGACAAAUCGUAUUUGUGUUUGUGGGUAGUAAGGGAGGAUAUUGGUUUUGACCCAAUCUUCAGCUGUAGUUUG
Molecule: long non-coding RNA, 5178 nt
Filed under: Brassica napus (rape)
Lineage: Eukaryota; Viridiplantae; Streptophyta; Magnoliopsida; Brassicales; Brassicaceae
Description: long non-coding RNA (BNAP_LNC025406)
Source: RNAcentral